RNAcentral lists this ribosomal RNA (459 nucleotides) under uncultured bacterium. Its description in RNAcentral is "partial 16S ribosomal RNA". It matches the Rfam family "Bacterial small subunit ribosomal RNA", at positions 338 to 795 of the family's 1533-position model. The record is from RNAcentral.
CCUACGGAGGCUGCAGUGAGGAAUAUUGGUCAAUGGCCGGAAGGCUGAACCAGCCAUGCCGCGUGAAGGUCAGUGCCCUAUGGGCGUUACACUUCUUUUGUGCGGGAGCAAUAAUGGUCACGUGUGGCCAGACGAGAGUACCGUACGAAUAAGCAUCGGCUAAACCCGUGCCAGCAGCCGCGGUAAUACGGGGAGUGCAAGCGUUAUCCGGAUUUAUUGGGCUUAAAGGGUGCGUAGGCUGUGAGGUAAGUCAGCGGUGAAAUGCCCCCGCUCCACGGGGUGAAGUGCCAUUGAUACUGCCUUGCUGGAAUGCGGAUGCCGUAGGAGGAAUGUGUGGUGUAGCGGUGAAAUGCAUAGAUAUCACACAGAACACCGAUUGCGAAGGCAUCUCACGGAUCCGCGAUUGACGCUGAUGCACGAAAGCGUGGGUAUCAAACAGGAUUAGAUACCCUAGUAGUC